GUUGAGGGGAAUGCUGUCUGGUUCGAAACCAUUCACCAAAGUAUCAAGAGUUUAUUAUUUGAAUGAUUUCGGACCAGGCUUCAUUCCCCCCAAC
Molecule: microRNA precursor, 94 nt
Filed under: Nicotiana attenuata
Lineage: Eukaryota; Viridiplantae; Streptophyta; Magnoliopsida; Solanales; Solanaceae
Description: pre miRNA mir-166
Rfam family: mir-166 microRNA precursor family
About the family: This family represents the plant microRNA (miRNA) precursor mir-166.
Source: Rfam by way of RNAcentral